GACGAACGCUGGCGGCGCGCCUAACACAUGCAAGUCGAACGAGCGAGAGAGAGCUUGCUUUCUCGAGCGAGUGGCGAACGGGUGAGUAACGCGUGAGGAACCUGCCUCAAAGAGGGGGACAACAGUUGGAAACGACUGCUAAUACCGCAUAAGCCCACGGCCCGGCAUCGGGUUGAGGGAAAAGGAUUUAUUCGCUUCAGGAUGGACUCGCGUCCAAUUAGCUAGUUGGUGAGGUAACGGCCCACCAAGGCGACGAUUGGUAGCCGGACUGAGAGGUUGAACGGCCACAUUGGGACUGAGACACGGCCCAG
This 311-nucleotide ribosomal RNA is filed under the name uncultured bacterium. RNAcentral's name for it is "bacterial SSU rRNA". It matches the Rfam family "Bacterial small subunit ribosomal RNA", at positions 28 to 334 of the family's 1533-position model. The record is from RNAcentral.